RNAcentral lists this ribosomal RNA (493 nucleotides) under uncultured bacterium. RNAcentral's name for it is "partial 16S ribosomal RNA". It matches the Rfam family "Bacterial small subunit ribosomal RNA", at positions 29 to 507 of the family's 1533-position model. The record is from RNAcentral.
ACGAACGCUGGCGGCGUGCUUAACACAUGCAAGUCGAACGGUGAAGCGCCUUCCUUUUUGGUGGGUGUGGAUGAGUGGCGAACGGGUGAGUAACACGUGAGUAACCUGCCCCCUUCUUCUGGAUAACCGCAUGAAAGUGUGGCUAAUACGGGAUAUUCUGGGUCUGUCGCAUGAUGGGUCUGGGAAAGAUAUUGUUUCGGUGGGGGAUGGGCUCGCGGCCUAUCAGCUUGUUGGUGGGGUGAUGGCCUACCAAGGCGGUGACGGGUAGCCGGCCUGAGAGGGUGGACGGUCACACUGGGACUGAGACACGGCCCAGACUCCUACGGGAGGCAGCGGUGGGGAAUAUUGCACAAUGGGCGCAAGCCUGAUGCAGCGACGCCGCGUGAGGGAUGGAGGCCUUCGGGUUGUGAACCUCUUUCGCCAGUGAAGCAGGCCUGCCUCGUCUGUGGGUGGGUUGACGGUAGCUGGAUAAGAAGCGCCGGCUAACUACGUG